This 907-nucleotide long non-coding RNA is filed under the name Anser cygnoides (Swan goose). Its description in RNAcentral is "lncRNA (ENSACDG00005016244.1)". The record is from RNAcentral. Lineage: Eukaryota; Metazoa; Chordata; Aves; Anseriformes; Anatidae.
GCGAUUCCUGAUUUUUGAAUAAAAUUUGUAUCUUCCUGAAUCAAAGUAGAAAAUUGCAGCCUGUGCUCUUGCAUUAUGGCUUUUUCUACACUUCUGUGACCCAUCUGCUUAUUGCACAUAUCCAUCAGCCUCAACCUUUUCAUUAGUUCAUCUGUUUGGAAGACAUAGUGAUCAGGAGGAGCUAAAGUGAGAAAAUCUGCAGGAGACCACGAUACAACCUCACUCACUCCAACUGCGCGUGACCACAAGAAGAAUUUGGGGAGCAGUGCAAAGGUGUCGCUGAGGCUGUUCCACCCAGGCAGAGCUGCUGAGACACCCCAGAGCCAGAUCGGGAGGUGAGCAACAGGGCUAUGAAACAGAGUCACGGACAGAUCCUGCUGGGAGCAGCCGCUCGCACUGCUGUACCUGGGGAUUACAUCUGCUCAGGAGGGCUCCCAGCCCGUCGGAUUGAGCGUAAAGGAAGAGGAGGAGAAAAUCCUCUUGAAAUUGAAUGUGAUGACAGGUUUGUGGAGCGAAGGCCAAAGCCUGGAGACGGCUCCAAGUGGCUUUGUUGGGGCAGACACCCAGGUAACUCAAAUUGGAUCCUGCCUCUUGGAACAAGUUCUGACAUCACUUACCCCGGUGCAGCCGGGGUUAUUCAUUUGGGCUAAGCAAAUUAAAAGGUUCUGCUUAGCCUCUCCCUUGCUUUGCUUUUAUACUGUCAGUGUAAUUGAAGCUACUCCUGGUUUAUAACCCCACGCCGGGGAAUAUCGCAUCCAGACAGCGUGUGGUGACGCAUCGGAAUAAUGGCGAAUAUUGAAUUCGGCGGUUAUACUAAUGUGCACCUGCUGAGGAGCUGGUCCAGCGGGAUGUGCACGGGCGGCUGGCGAGCCGUCAAGGCCUCGAGACGGCACGGGUUUCAUCCUCA